AUCGUAUUUUUAAUCAAUCCUAUAUAAUUUGCUGAGGAUAACUCAAAUUUUUUAUUUAUACAAAGUAAUUUGCAUGUUUACAAUUGCUGUAUUGAGAGAAUAUAUAUCAUAGCUUUUUGGAAAAGUUUAGCAAUCAAAUAUAAAUGUUAACAUAGUCUAUAUCGAUUAAUCAAAUAUGUGUAUUCUACAGAUAAACUGAUUUAAUCGCUUUUUUUUACAGCGUCUCGAUUAUCCUUCCAUGAUAAAGUACAUGUUCCAUUUUUACAUUCUUUUAUUAAUUCCGGAGAUGGCUCGUCCCCCUUGGCCUCUUUCCCGUUAUUCCUUAAUUGCCACCAUUUGAUCAAUAAUGGUUGUAUGAGAAAUCUCCAUAUUAUUAGAAAUAUAGGAACAGCAAAGCAUGGUACACACACCAUUUUGUGUAUAUAUAACUUUUAUAAUCUAGAAUUAUACAUGUAUAUUUUAUUUUAAUAGAAAAUAACAUUCUUAUCUAAGAAAUAUUACAGUUAUACUAUACGCCUUUGAUUACAGUUAUUUUAAAAAAUGUUUAUAUUUUUGACAUUUUGCAUUUCGAAAAAGAUCGUUACCUUAGAAAACAGGUAGAAGUAACGCUAUAGCGAAUUUCUACGGAAUAAUUGGGCGAAUGUGACAAGGAAAUCGAUACAGGCAUAACCUGAACGAUAUCGUCAAUAUGUGCGAGACUUUGUGUAUCACCGACACUUUGAUGUUGUCGAAAAAUAUAUCAGUCUAAAUGCCAGAUUGUCGCGCUGAUGAUUAUCAGCACUAUAUUAAUGCACUUGUAAUCGUAAUAUACGAAAAUUGUUUUGUUAUACGUUUUCAUAUAAGUUUACAGUUUUCACAUUUUUAUCAUAUCUUCAUUAUCAGUGUUUGCCGUUUGCAGCGCCGCGCUGAGCGCGACUAGGCUUGGACUAGUGUUAAAUUUAAUACGCAUGCGCGUAUAAAUUAUCAACUGCAUAGAUGUAACUAAUUAGAUAUAAUGAUUAGAGAAUACAGCAUACGAUCGUAUUUGCUACACACGAUCUCUAAUAUUUAAUUAUAUACAUAAGGACAUGGUCACAGCCAUUCAUUGCGAGAUUAUAGGAUAUUUCUACAUCUAUAUAAGGAUAUUCUAGAUAUAUUAAAAUAUAAUGUAUCGUUCACGGAACUCUUCGACUGGUCAAAGUUUAGCAAAGGAAAAAUCCUAAGCACUGGGUUGCUGUGAGUGAUUAUUGUGAUAACAUAUGUGGGAUGCUUCCGCGCAAUUUCAAGGAAUGGUUGCAUCCGGAUGAGAGAAAUCAUCUUUGACUCUUAAAUACUUCCAAACACCUUACGACCUCUCGUUACGCAUAACGAGACGACGAUGACGCUUAAUACGAAGAAAAUUAAACCAAAAAGAGUAGUGAGGGCUCUGCACCAUUGCCGUUUUCGUUUCGCCUUUGCGAUUGUUCGACUUAAACGCUCCGCACGUGUUACAUCGAGAGUGAAAUCGAAAUCUUCUCCGAAGCCUCUGACGGCCAAGCGACGAUUCCAAUCGUUCGACGAGGCGAUCGUUUCUUCGCUAGACGAGCCAAUGUCGCUGUAAUCCAGCUGCUGGA
Long non-coding RNA from Nylanderia fulva, 1592 nucleotides. RefSeq lists it as uncharacterized. Lineage: Eukaryota; Metazoa; Arthropoda; Insecta; Hymenoptera; Formicidae. The record is from RefSeq and is a predicted model, not a curated record.